CUCAGAAAUAAGGGAACUAUGUAUCAACUGAAAAGGAAUUCCAGAUACAUAACCAGUAAAAGCAGGAAGAGGCAUGAGGGAGUGAAAAAUACUGGCUGAAUAUUUGCAUGUGGCUGUAAAAGCUUGCUUCCAAGGCCUGUGGCAAACAGCAUCUGUAAGUGGUGAAAACAAAUCGGAUAGAUGGGGUUUUCAUAACAGCUAGGCUGAUGAAGCUUAAAACAAAAGAUAUGAUAGUCUUGCUUUCUUGUGAUAGAAAGAACAAAACCCAGAAUGGCGCAGAACUCCUCUACAAGUGACGUGCAGGAGUAUGCCUAUUUUACAUAAUAUCAGUAAAAUCAUCUGUAAAACAGCCAUAGAUAGAUCUACUUCUGUAAAUUAUUGACCCCCUCUUGACCUUUUUGUUUUCCCCUGACCAUACGCUCUUACAGAAACACACAGAUGAACAUUUAAUCACGUACCCGCUCUGAUAUUUCUGAUGCACUGCCCUUGUUUCCUGACAGAACAACAUCUCACUUUGUAGCUAAAUGGCACUGGGAUGAAAAAUCUGAGUAUUUUUGUCGCCAGGUAAUAGAAGAAAGAUUUUACUGCAUCUUUAAAAAUAAGUCAUAGGAUUUGGAUGAGUCACAAAAACAAACCCAAAACACACAAAAACCUGUUAUUAGAUGUUUUAAAAUGCACUACACAGAAUAUGAAUUUAUCCAACCGGAAAUUUAUAAGAAAGAAAACCUCCUUACUUCAUCUAGUUUCACUUGCAUUUUCAUCUGAAUGGAGUUGAACAAUUUCUUAUUUAUAUCAAUAAACAGAUGGUUCAGCAAGACACAUUUUUAAGGUAUGGACCAAACUGCCUGCAUUCACACCUCAUCACUUAAUGUGGUCUUAAACCAAGAGGAAAGUUUCCCCAGGUAUAUACGAAAAGCCAGAGUUCUUGGUGUUGUUUCAGGUAAAUACCAAAGUCAAAGUGAAUUGCUUUAUAUUUAUAUUUGGGGUUGUUUGUUAAGGACCAACCUGACUCCACACACAUUAAAUUUAUGAAAACAAGACUAAAAAAAUAUGAUUUGAGAGCAACUAAAAAUACAACCAGCACAUGAAGGAACGUCUGUGUAUGUGUACUACAAAAAAUUUAAAAGCUAUAGACAACUUUUAUAGGCUCUACAGUGUGAGCAAUCCUUUAAAUACACAAAUACCUUCAGUUCAGUGCUACGCUGAACUGGAUUUUUGAAACUGCACAGGUUUGACUGGUUUUUCCAAAUAAAACCUUAGCUGAAAUACAGAUUAAAAAAAUGUAAAGAGAUGACUAUGAGCAGUGUUAACAUAUCUGUCCACUAUGGAAUUGAGUAGCUACAACCAGAAGAACAAAAUACAAAGCAAGCGUGCAAAGGAUCUGGAACGCUGCAGUUUCACAGACAUCUGGACAUGUAAGUACAAAACACUCAACCUGUAAAUACAAAUUGAUUCCAUCAGGUUUACUAUACAGUAUGUUAGUAGUAGUAGAUAGAUAGUUGAAAACAGUUUUCUCUUAACAGCGAAAUUAAUUUUGGAGGGAACAAAAUGGUGACAUCUCAUCCUGGAGAACAGCAAGAGAGGUAUUAUAUUAAAGGAGCUAAAAUUUUCUUUGGCAUGGUAAAAAGGGAGAAUUGAGUUGGCCAACAUAUUUACACGAAGUUUCACCAUACUGUGGCCAGUGCAAUCAUGUUUUGCACAGUCUACUUCUUACAUAAACUUUUUUGUUGUUUUUCAAUAUGCCUUCAUAUAAAUGUUUUAUUCAUCAUGUUCAAUCUGUGUAUACAACAAAUAAUAAUAAAGACAAACUGUACAAUGCAGACAAACUCUUUGCAUAUAUGUAUGUAGAUUCAGUAAUACAGAUGAACAAUUCCUUGAUACACUCAACCUUUUACAUGCAGUUCAUCCUUACCACCCCCUUCCCAUGCAACAGACGAGACAAGACAAAAUUAAAAGGAGGAAACAAAGCACAGAAACCCCAUUUCUGUGUUUAAACAGAUUGUAGAAAAAGAAAUAUUUUUUAGGACAACGAUUCACUGUAUUAAAUACACAUACGCAUUUAGACCACAGAAACAAAAAGAGAAAUUAAAAAUAUUAUGGUGCAUUUUCAGUAUGUAUGAACUGCUUAUGGAAAUCAAAUCCGGCCUUAAUUGUAGCCCCCUAAACUGCAAAUUAUAAUUACC
RNAcentral lists this long non-coding RNA (2183 nucleotides) under Gallus gallus (chicken). Lineage: Eukaryota; Metazoa; Chordata; Aves; Galliformes; Phasianidae. The record is from RNAcentral.